GACGAACGCUGGCGGCGUGCUUAACACAUGCAAGUGGAGCGACGAACCGGGGCUUGCCCCGGGGCAGAGCCGCGAACGGGUGAGUAACACGUGGGUAACCCACCCCGAUGACCGGGACAACCCGAGGAAACUCGGGCUAAUACCGGAUGUGCUCCUUGACCUCGAGGUCAAGGCGUAAAGAUAGCUUCGGCCUUCGCAUCGGGACGGGCCCGCGGCCCAUUAGCUUGUUGGUGGGGUAAAGGCCUACCAAGGCGACGAUGGGUAGCUGGUC
This 271-nucleotide ribosomal RNA is filed under the name uncultured bacterium. Its description in RNAcentral is "partial 16S ribosomal RNA". It matches the Rfam family "Bacterial small subunit ribosomal RNA", at positions 28 to 292 of the family's 1533-position model. The record is from RNAcentral.